AAGACUAUACUUUCGGGGAUCAUUUCUGUAGUUUGCUACUAGAGAAGUUUCUCUGAACAUGUAGAGCCCUCAAAACCAUGAGGAGAAGGUGUAGUGUUCUCUCCUGAGUGUGAAGCUGGCUCUUGGUGUUGGUUUGUAACUGCCAUUAGCCAUUGAUGACCGUUUUUCUCUUCCUUUGGGAGAGUAAGAGGGAGAGGACACAGUCUGAGUGGC
Molecule: small nucleolar RNA, 213 nt
Organism: Rhinolophus ferrumequinum (greater horseshoe bat)
Lineage: Eukaryota; Metazoa; Chordata; Mammalia; Chiroptera; Rhinolophidae
Gene: U3
Rfam family: Small nucleolar RNA U3
About the family: Small nucleolar RNAs (snoRNAs) are involved in the processing and modification of rRNA in the nucleolus. There are two main classes of snoRNAs: the box C/D class, and the box H/ACA class.
Source: Ensembl